UACGUAGGGUGCAAGCGUUGUCCGGAAUUAUUGGGCGUAAAGAGCUCGUAGGCGGUCUGUCGCGUCUGCUGUGAAAACUCAGGGCUUAACCCUGAGCUUGCAGUGGGUACGGGCAGACUAGAGUGCGGUAGGGGAGACUGGAAUUCCUGGUGUAGCGGUGAAAUGCGCAGAUAUCAGGAGGAACACCGGUGGCGAAGGCGGGUCUCUGGUCCGGUUCUGACGCUGAGGCGCGAAAGCGUGGGGAGCAAACAGG
RNAcentral lists this ribosomal RNA (253 nucleotides) under uncultured bacterium. RNAcentral's name for it is "partial 16S ribosomal RNA". It matches the Rfam family "Bacterial small subunit ribosomal RNA", at positions 524 to 776 of the family's 1533-position model. The record is from RNAcentral.